AACGCACCUUGCGCCCCUUGGCUAUUCCGAGGGGCAUGCCUGUUUGAGUAUCAUGAACACCUCAACUCUCAUGGUUUGCCAUGAUGAGCUUGGACUUUGGGGGUUUUGCUGGCCUGUGGUCGGCUCCCCUUAAAUGAAUCAGCUUUCCAGUGUUUGGUGGCGCCACAGUGUGAUAACUAUCUACGCUUGUGGCCGUCUGCCAGGUAACCUUCCACAAUGGGGGGUUUGCUGGAGCUCACAAAUGUCUCUCCUCAGCGAAGACAACUUUUUGAAAGUUCGAUCUCAAAUCAGGUAGGACUACCCGCUGAACUUAA
Molecule: unclassified non-coding RNA, 314 nt
Filed under: uncultured Thelephoraceae
Lineage: Eukaryota; Fungi; Basidiomycota; Agaricomycetes; Thelephorales; Thelephoraceae
Description: sequence contains ITS2
Source: RNAcentral